AUCACUGCAUAUUCAGAUUUGCCU
Molecule: non-coding RNA, 24 nt
Filed under: Arabidopsis thaliana (thale cress)
Lineage: Eukaryota; Viridiplantae; Streptophyta; Magnoliopsida; Brassicales; Brassicaceae
Source: RNAcentral